ACUAUUUUGGCAGAUUAGUGCAGAAAAUUUAGAAUUUUCAUAUGUAAUUUAAAUUMCAAAUAGUA
Molecule: transfer RNA, 65 nt
Filed under: Thraxan acutus
Lineage: Eukaryota; Metazoa; Arthropoda; Insecta; Diptera; Bombyliidae
Description: transfer RNA-Leu
Source: RNAcentral